Molecule: long non-coding RNA, 2230 nt
Organism: Neopsephotus bourkii (Bourke's parrot)
Lineage: Eukaryota; Metazoa; Chordata; Aves; Psittaciformes; Psittacidae
Exons: 2
Source: RefSeq, a predicted model, not a curated record
UAGAAUGACAUCUCAAACUCCAAGACUAGUAUUGAUCCAUUGAGAUAAUUUCUCAGCAGCUUGGGCUCUAUAUGGGGAGAUGCAUCUUGGAAUUAUUGCCAUUUUCCAAGAAUUGGAGUCCUAAAACCUAAAUUUUGCCUCACUGUUCUGCUCCCCUGAGAACGAUCCAACGUACUGCUGUGUCUUGAAGUGCAGAGAGUACAUUUUCCGGCAAUUUCUUCACACCAUGUCAGCCGCCUCAUUUUACACAGCAGAGCUGCAGUAGUUCUACACUGAAGACUUCAGAUGCUUGCAGAGCAAGAUACAGCAGGAAUGGAAGGAAGGAAGCAGGGGUAGAAAAGCUCCUCUUUUAGAGGCAAAAGCUGUAAUGCCUGGUUGUUGUGUUGUUGAAUCAUAUCCUUAGGCCAUCAUAACUACCACUUCCUCCACGGGGUUGUUCCUACUGCAGUUAGCUUUGAUUGCUUCAAUGCACCAUUGCUAGCUUGACUUUUAUCCACAGACAACUGUGUAAAGGUAGAAGAAUUAGAAAGUGUUUGAGAAACUUUAAGCUGGCAGAAUGUAGUGUACUGACUCUUGCAUUUCUGUAGAUACACAGCUCUAUAGGUCUUCAGAGCUCCGGGAGCAGCUAGCAGAAGCACAAACCAGACAGACUCCAGCAGUAAGUUUUAGUUUAAUGUUAGGAUAAAAAAAGAGCAGGGACAAAUAAAUCACUGGGACUGGUGCAACAAACCACUAACCUUUAAGAUAGUGCUCAAGAAAAUACCAAACUCAUCUACUAGGAAAAGUGUGGAUUCAUCUGCUAAGCACUUUGAAUAUCAGGGGUGAAGGAGUUGGAGUUAGCCUUUGUUUAAUGGGAAAGAUAAUAUGGUGAAGAAAACCAUCAAAAAAAAAGUGCAGAACUAAACAGCCAGGGGAGCUCAGCUCCAGGCUUCAAGCAUGUGCAUGACCCAGGGAUAAGCCAGGCAAGCAGGCUGGGGCUGACAGGAGUUUGAAAUGAUGAAUGUCCAGGGAAAUAGGACUUUGUAAAGCAACCUGUGUCAAAGGAAUGCUUGUCAUCAUCAGAGAAGUUCUGCUAUUAGGUUUAAAAGAAUAUCCACAAGAUUCCAUUUCUGGACAAGGAAGGAGUCUUUUGGGCCAUACUGCAUACUAAUUUCAGCACACACAAAAAAAUCAAGAACAGUUCCUGGCACUGGUAAACUGGAAGAAAAGUGAUGUUUGGAAGUUCUGCUGCAUCAUCAGGCAAAGGUGAUCAUCAGGCUAAUACCAGUGUGUACAUUCAAAGGAACCCAGCAAAACAGCUACUACUUUUUUCUGUGGUAAUUAAUUUGAUCAUUUGGUAGCACUUAUAUAAAGCACAAAAUGUAAGCAGUCAUGAGGGACACACCACAAAAGAAACUGGCAAAACUCUGGUACUAUUUAAUCUUGUCAGGAGUCAGAUCUACUCCUAUUUUCUGCCUAUCUUAUGCAGGUUUCUUUGAAAAAGGUUUUCUAUUGAAGACAGAAAUUAAAAGUACAAUGAUUAGAAGAGACCAAUGGUCCAACAAGACUGGGAACAUCCACAUACUUCUGGUUAAUCAGGAAAUCACUCUUUCCUUUCUUUUAUUCAAUGUCAGAAAACAACCUUCUUUUUGCAUAAUUGCCUCUAUUUUAAGCUUACACCAAACUUCCGCAGCUCAACAUUGAGCUUGCUUUCUAAAUUACAAACCAGAGCCCAUUAGUGCUGCUCUGGGAGCAACAAAGGAAUGCCCUCCUUUAUCCCUCCAAGCUGUAGUGAUGUCUAUUUCUGUUUUGAAACUUGAUUGAGUUUUCCUAGCCUACACAAGCAUGGAGCUUGAAUCUGUGGGCUAAGCUACAGUGAGUAAGCCUGGUGAUACCAGCUGACCACAUCUAAACUCCCCUCUUGGCAGUACUGACAAUUUCAGGAAGAACUGUCUGAUGUUUCAUGGUUGGCCACAUGACUUUUGUACUGCUGCUCACCAUUUGCUUCUCAGAACCCAAACAGAUUGCAGAAGCAAGCUGAGGGAAGGACAGUAUUCAUUCCGUAAUAGGUGAUGAGUAACUCCCACAAGAUUUGUCUUCUGUUUCUUGAAAUAGAACAUGAAACUUAUUAGGUCUUUAAUUUGGUAAUUUAACUUGAGGUUUUAAAUGCUGAAGGAAGAAAGCUACAAUUCAGACGGGAUGAAUUUUCCAGUGAACUUUGAACUUCCAUUAAACAUGAAAUCAAUAUUAA